GUGCCCGUUCUUCUAUCUGUCGAACUUUAUCAAGCUCGACAUUUGAGGUAUUGGUUCCUUCACUAAGGAACUACUUUUCUAAAAAGUAUGCAUUACUACUGAUGAACACCUUUUAUUUAUCAACUUGAUAGAAGUAAUACUCCUUAGUCUCUUUCGGAUAUCCUAUAAAUAAAUAUUUGUCAAAUCUAGGUCUGAGCUUAUCUAUUUUCAAAUGCUUGACAUAAGCAGGACAUC
This 234-nucleotide long non-coding RNA is filed under the name Elaeis guineensis (African oil palm). RNAcentral describes it as "long non-coding RNA (EGUI_LNC069288)". The record is from RNAcentral. Lineage: Eukaryota; Viridiplantae; Streptophyta; Magnoliopsida; Arecales; Arecaceae.